GUAGGGAAUAUUGGGCAAUGGAUGCAAGUCUGACCCAGCCAUCCCGCGUGCCGGAAGAAGGCCCUCAGGGUUGUAAACGGCUUUUGACGGUGAAGAAUCGACAGGAUGCGUCCUGUUUUGACGGUAGCCGUUGAAUAAGCACCGGCUAACUCCGUGCCAGCAGCCGCGGUAAUACGGAGGGUGCGAGCGUUGUCCGGAUUUAUUGGGUUUAAAGGGUGCGUAGGCUGGAAGGUCAGUCAGCGGUGAAAAGCUAUCGCUUAACGAUAGUCUUGCCGCAGAUACUUCCUUUCUUGGAUGAGGAGGAGGCCACUGGAACGGAUGGUGUAGCGGUGAAAUGCAUAGAUAUCAUCCAGAACACCGAUUGCGAAGGCAGGUGGCUGUACCUUAAUCGACGCUGAUGCACGAAAGCAUGGGGAGCAAACAGGAUUAGAAACCCCUGUAGUCC
RNAcentral lists this ribosomal RNA (445 nucleotides) under uncultured bacterium. Its description in RNAcentral is "partial 16S ribosomal RNA". It matches the Rfam family "Bacterial small subunit ribosomal RNA", at positions 354 to 796 of the family's 1533-position model. The record is from RNAcentral.